This 441-nucleotide ribosomal RNA is filed under the name uncultured bacterium. Its description in RNAcentral is "partial 16S ribosomal RNA". It matches the Rfam family "Bacterial small subunit ribosomal RNA", at positions 338 to 795 of the family's 1533-position model. The record is from RNAcentral.
CCUACGGGAGGCAGCAGUGGGGAAUAUUGCGCAAUGGGGGAAACCCUGACGCAGCAACGCCGCGUGAGUGAAGAAGUAUCUCGGUAUGUAAAGCUCUAUCAGCGGGGAAGCAGGAAGACGGUACCCGACUAAGAAGCCCCUGCUAACUACGUGCCAGCAGCCGCGGUAAUACGCAGGGGGCGAGCGUUACCCGGAUUUACUGGGUGGAAAGGGAGCGUGGACGGCGUCGCAAGUCUGAAGUGAAAGCACGUGGCUCAACCGCGGAACCGCUUUGGAAACUGCGAGGCUGGAGUGCUGGAGAGGUAGGCGGAAUUCCUGGUGUAGCGGUGAAAUGCGUAGAUAUCAGGAGGAACACCGGUGGCGAAGGCUGCUUACUGGACAGUGACUGACGUUGAGGCUCGAAAGCGUGGGGAGCGAACAGGAUUAGAUACCCGGGUAGUC